GCAGAGCACUCCUACGGGAGGUAGCAGUGAGGAAUAUUGGACAAUGGGCGAGGGCCUGAUCCAGCCAUGCCGCGUGCAGGAAGAAUGCCCUAUGGGUAGUAAACUGCUUUUAUACGGGAAGAAAAGGGGCACGUGUGCCCUGUUGACGGUACCGUAAGAAUAAGGACCGGCUAACUCCGUGCCAGCAGCCGCGGUAAUACGGAGGGUCCGAGCGUUAUCCGGAAUUAUUGGGCGUAAAGCGCAUGUAGGCGGCUUUUUAAGUCUGAUGUGAAAGCCAGUGGCUCAACCACUGAAUUGCAUUGGAUACUGGAAAGCUAGAAUCUUGGAGAGGUAAGUGGAAUUUCAUGUGUAGCGGUGGAAUGCGUAGAUAUAUGAAGGAACACCAAUGGCGAAGGCAGCUUACUGGACAAGUAUUGACGCUGAGAUGCGAAAGUGUGGGUAGCAAACAGGAUUAGAUACCCUGGUAG
RNAcentral lists this ribosomal RNA (467 nucleotides) under uncultured bacterium. RNAcentral describes it as "bacterial SSU rRNA". It matches the Rfam family "Bacterial small subunit ribosomal RNA", at positions 328 to 793 of the family's 1533-position model. The record is from RNAcentral.